UCGGCCCGGCCCUUUCGUUGCCGCCUUCGCCUUCGCCUUCCGCGCGAGGCCUGCCCUGGGCCUAAGCCCGGCGGGUUUGCGGAAACCGCCCUAGGCGAGACGGAGCCCACUCUUCCUAGGCAGGAGGACUGCAAGGACCCGACGGAGGAGAGCGGGAGAAAGCCCAGCCUAGCGCUGCUAAACCGGGGCCUGUGUGAGAGAAAAGCCUUCCUGAGGAGAAAGCGCACGGGAGCAAACGCAACGCGCUGUACCUGACGAGUAUUUCAGGCCCGUGCUUAAUUGGGGUCCAUAAAGGUAGAGCAGCAUGUUUGUAGUAAUGUUCAAAUACCGUAGUUGCACAGACCAGGUUAGUGGUAUCAUUAAAAAAGAAAAAGAUGGCCCGAGCGAGAAGAAUAGAAAAGAAAUGAAAUACACAUACGUAAUUUAAGUCUCUGCCCUUGCGGAAAAUUUCACAUUCAGCUGGAAACUAAAUAUAACUCAGCGUGUCGUCUCAUAUGUAACCAAAGCAAAUACUGAGUAUUCAUUACAUAUGUAAAUGAGAUAACAGCUAUACCUAAAGAACAUUUCUGAUCUGCCCCAAAAAUUGAAACCUAUUUGCAAUUACAAGGUUAUGUCCCUGUGGUGUUAUAACUUUUCUUUCCGGUUCAGUGCUCAGAGAAUUGGGCUAGUAUUUAGCAAAAACAUGAAAGAAUAUUUUAAUACUAAACAGUCUAAUCGUGGUUAGAGCCUGUAUUACAGAUGUAAAGAGGGGCUAGACUUAGCAGGAAGCUUAAAAUAGGUGUACAUGACCUGAGUGAGAUGGUAUGUUGUAAUCGGCGGCAGUGUGUAAAUCUGUUCAGUUUACAGAUUGAGACUGACCAGAAUUGCAAUCCGUGUGUGUGUGUGUGUCCCAAUGUACCCGGGAUUGAACUCAGGAGCUUUUGCUUGCAAGGCAGGCGCGGUGCCACAACUACAUCCCCAGCCAUUGCUACUUAUUUAAAUAUGAUCUUGGACAAAUUUCGUGUUUCCACUUCCUCCUUGUAAGAGUGCUUGUAACACCUAAUGAAUAUAAAAUGCUUGGCUUAGUGCUCUUUCCUCAAUAGUACACAGUAAAGUAUUUUACUGCUCUUGUUAUGAAGAUUUAGAUAAGCAGAGGAGGCCCAAAGAAGAGGGAAUACUUAAAAGACAGAAAAUUCAUGCAGUAUGUAUUUUCUUUUCAGAAAAGACUGCAUAUCAGAAGUUGAUUAAAUCGAGAGGGGCAGAGUGUGAAAAUUAGCAUUCAAAGAAGCUUGAGUGUUCUUUCCUUUCUCAAUCCUCGCUCCCGGACUCAGGCGUGUACGUGUUGUGACGGCUGGACUGCCACAAGUGGCGCCGGAACAGGAACCUGAAGAACAGGGACUUGAAGAACAGGGACCUGAGUAUCGAGGGAUUCAGUGAAGGACACCGCUGGAUAAAGAAUAAAAGGAGAUCUCG
Molecule: long non-coding RNA, 1452 nt
Organism: Fukomys damarensis (Damara mole-rat)
Lineage: Eukaryota; Metazoa; Chordata; Mammalia; Rodentia; Bathyergidae
Exons: 2
Source: RefSeq, a predicted model, not a curated record